RNAcentral lists this ribosomal RNA (1390 nucleotides) under uncultured bacterium. RNAcentral's name for it is "16S ribosomal RNA". It matches the Rfam family "Bacterial small subunit ribosomal RNA". The record is from RNAcentral.
AGAGUUUGAUCCUGGCUCAGGAUGAACGCUAGCUACAGGCUUAACACAUGCAAGUCGAGGGGCAGCACGGGGGUAUCAAUACUCUGGGUGGCGACCGGCGCACGGGUGCGUAACGCGUAUCCAACCUUCCCGUUACUCUUGGAUAUCCUUCCGAAAGGGAGAUUAAUACAAGAUGGUGUUUCACUUUCGCAUGUAACUGAAACUAAAAAUUAAUCGGUAACGGAUGGCGAUGCUUGACAUUAGAUAGAUGGCGGGGUAACGGCCCACCAUGUCUACGAUGUCUAGGGGUUCUGAGAGGAAGGUCCCCCACACUGGAACUGAGACACGGUCCAGACUCCUACGGGAGGCAGCAGUGAGGAAUAUUGGUCAAUGGUCGAGAGACUGAACCAGCCAAGUAGCGUGAAGGAUGAAGGUUCUAUGGAUUGUAAACUUCUUUUAUACGGGAAUAAAACGUCCCACGUGUGGGAUCUUGUAUGUACCGUAUGAAUAAGCAUCGGCUAACUCCGUGCCAGCAGCCGCGGUAAUAAGGAGGAUGCGAGCGUUAUCCGGAUUUCUUGGGUUUAAAGGGAGCGUACACGGGAUGUUAAGUCAGUUGUGAAAGGCUGUGGCUCAACCAUAGCACUGCAGUUGAUACUGGCGUCCUUGAGUGCGGUUGAGGUGUGUGGAAUUCGUGGAGAACCGGUGAAAUGCUUAAAUAUCACGAACAACUUCCAAUGCGAAGGCCACCCACUAAGCCCGCUACUGAUCUUUAAUGCUCAAAAGUGUUGGGUAUAAAACAGGAAUAAAAUACCCGGGUACCCCACACGGAAAACAAAAAAAACCCCCCUGUUGGCGAAAAAAUGUCAGCGGCCAAGCGAAAGCAUUAAGUAUUCCACUUGGGGAGUACGCCGGCAACGGUGAAACUCAAAGGAAUUGACGGGGGCCCGCACAAGCGGAGGAACAUGUGGUUUAAUUCGAUGAUACGCGAGGAACCUUACCCGGGCUUAAAUUGCAUCUGACAGGCAAAGAGAUUUGCUUUUCUUCGGACAGAUGUGAAGGUGCUGCAUGGUUGUCGUCAGCUCGUGCCGUGAGGUGUCGGCUUAAGUGCCAUAACGAGCGCAACCCUUGCCGGUAGUUACCAUCAGGUUAUGCUGGGGACUCUACCGGGACUGCCAUCGUAAGAUGUGAGGAAGGUGGGGAUGACGUCAAAUCAGCACGGCCCUUACGUCCGGGGCUACACACGUGUUACAAUGGGAGGUACAGAAGGCUGCUACCCGGCGACGGGAUGCCAAUCCCCAAAACCUCUCUCAGUUCGGAUUGGAGUCUGCAACCCGACUCCAAGAAGCUGGAUUCGUUAGUAAUCGCGCAUCAGCCACGGCGCGGUGAAUACGUUCCCGGGCCUUGUACACAC